GUAAAGGUAAGCUAACAUACUAAAAACAGUCGUAUUAUAGAAGUAGACAUGUGUAAUUGGAUACCUAUGCUGGGUAGGACAGGAUAGAGAAUGAGUGUAUUUUCUCUAUUGUUGUUAGAGAUUGAGUGUAUCAUCACUUUUAUUGUUUAAGAGUGAGAGAAUCCUCUCUUGUAUUUGUUGUUUCAAAUUUGAGUGGUGUGAGGAUAACAUUAAGAGCAUCAUUAUAUUCAAGUACUUAAAUCUUGAUUAGUGGAUUACCCCCUAACUAAGGUUGUUGAAGACUAGAUGUAGGCUUGAGAAAAGUUGAACCAGUAUAAAUCUUUGUGUGCUUUGAUCUUUCUUUCCUCUUUCUUUGCUUGGUUGAUUCAAACAUUUUUUAUUAUUGAUUUCAAGAUUUAAAGAUCUUCAAAGAUUUCAGAAAGCUUUUAAAAUCUAAUUCACCCCCCC
This 447-nucleotide long non-coding RNA is filed under the name Vigna radiata. RNAcentral's name for it is "long non-coding RNA (VRAD_LNC005443)". Lineage: Eukaryota; Viridiplantae; Streptophyta; Magnoliopsida; Fabales; Fabaceae. The record is from RNAcentral.